Molecule: long non-coding RNA, 213 nt
Filed under: Elaeis guineensis (African oil palm)
Lineage: Eukaryota; Viridiplantae; Streptophyta; Magnoliopsida; Arecales; Arecaceae
Description: long non-coding RNA (EGUI_LNC021628)
Source: RNAcentral
ACUUAUCUAGCUAAUUUGAUGGAUUAUAUUUUGAUUAGAUUGCUAAGUAUUUUGAGUUGACCCAUGCCAUUAAGGUUGAUCAGUGUGACUGAUUUAGGUGCCAUUUUCAACCAGCAUAACCUUGAUCCAAUUCAAUGACUUGAUGAAGUUAGUGGGAGGAUUAUGGUUUACUAGUUGAUCUCUUCUCUUCUCUUCUCUUAAUUCAUAAAUUAA